GCCCCUAUAGCUCAGCGGUAGAGCGCGCCACUCGUAAUGUUGUAAAGUCGUUCAAACCGGCUUAGGGGCU
Molecule: transfer RNA, 70 nt
Filed under: Mycosphaerella sp. Ston1
Lineage: Eukaryota; Fungi; Ascomycota; Dothideomycetes; Mycosphaerellales; Mycosphaerellaceae
Description: tRNA-Thr (CGT) (tRNA-Thr-CGT-2-1)
Rfam family: tRNA
About the family: Transfer RNA (tRNA) molecules are approximately 80 nucleotides in length. Their secondary structure includes four short double-helical elements and three loops (D, anti-codon, and T loops).
Source: RNAcentral